UGGAAGGGGCGGCAGGCUACACAUGCAGUCGAGCGGUAACAGAUCCAGCUUGCUGGAUGCUGACGAGCGGCGGACGGGUGAGUAAUGCAUAGGAAUCUACCCGGUAGUGGGGGAUAACCUGGGGAAACCCAGGCUAAUACCGCAUACGUCCUACGGGAGAAAGGGGGCUUUGGCUCCCGCUAUCGGAUGAGCCUAUGCCGGAUUAGCUGGUUGGUGAGGUAACGGCUCACCAAGGCGACGAUCCGUAGCUGGUCUGAGAGGAUGAUCAGCCACAUCGGGACUGAGACACGGCCCGAACUCCUACGGGAGGCAGCAGUGGGGAAUAUUGGACAAUGGGGGCAACCCUGAUCCAGCCAUGCCGCGUGUGUGAAGAAGGCCCUCGGGUUGUAAAGCACUUUCAGCGAGGAAGAACGCCUGGUGGUUAAUACCCGCCAGGAAAGACAUCACUCGCAGAAGAAGCACCGGCUAACUCCGUGCCAGCAGCCGCGGUAAUACGGAGGGUGCAAGCGUUAAUCGGAAUUACUGGGCGUAAAGCGCGCGUAGGUGGCUUGAUAAGCCGGUUGUGAAAGCCCCGGGCUCAACCUGGGAACGGCAUCCGGAACUAUCAGGCUAGAGUGCAGGAGAGGAAGGUAGAAUUCCCGGUGUAGCGGUGAAAUGCGUAGAGAUCGGGAGGAAUACCAGUGGCGAAGGCGGCCUUCUGGACUGACACUGACACUGAGGUGCGAAAGCGUGGGUAGCAAACAGGAUUAGAUACCCUGGUAGUCCACGCCGUAAACGAUGUCGACCAGCCGUUGGGUGCCUAGCGCACUUUGUGGCGAAGUUAACGCGAUAAGUCGACCGCCUGGGGAGUACGGCCGCAAGGUUAAAACUCAAAUGAAUUGACGGGGGCCCGCACAAGCGGUGGAGCAUGUGGUUUAAUUCGAUGCAACGCGAAGAACCUUACCUACCCUUGACAUCCUGCGAACUUGAGAGAGAUCACUUUGGUGCCUUCGGAGCUGCAGAGACAGUGCUGCAUGGCUGUCGUCAGCUCGUGUUGUGAAUGUGGGGUAAGUCCCGUACGAGCGCAACCCUUGUCCUUUAUUUGCCAGCGAGUAAUGCCGGAACUUCUAAGAGACUGGCGGUGACAACGAAGGAGGUGGACGACGUCCAGUCAUCAUGGGCCUUAACGUAGCUUACCCGUGCUACAUUGCCGUACAGGCUGCGAGCUCGCGAAGUCAGCAAUUCCUUUAGCCGUCUCUCAGUCCGGCAAU
This 1250-nucleotide ribosomal RNA is filed under the name Halomonas sp. HL60. RNAcentral describes it as "bacterial SSU rRNA". It matches the Rfam family "Bacterial small subunit ribosomal RNA", at positions 29 to 1300 of the family's 1533-position model. Lineage: Bacteria; Pseudomonadati; Pseudomonadota; Gammaproteobacteria; Oceanospirillales; Halomonadaceae. The record is from RNAcentral.